RNAcentral lists this long non-coding RNA (244 nucleotides) under Capsella rubella. RNAcentral describes it as "long non-coding RNA (CRUB_LNC004283)". The record is from RNAcentral. Lineage: Eukaryota; Viridiplantae; Streptophyta; Magnoliopsida; Brassicales; Brassicaceae.
CAAAAUCUGAAUCUGCUAUGAAAAUAUGGUUACUCAAAAAUUUCAUUUGUGGAUCACAAAAUAUAAAUUCAGUUGUGAAGAAAUAAGGAAGAGAACAUAUUAACUAUAUGAGUAUGAAAAAUUAUGAACAAAUAUUUUUGUUCCAAAGAGACUGAUAUCAGAAAAAAUCUGCAAUUUGGUAUAAAAAUUUGAGAUUUGAACGUCAAGAAAACAAUAUAGAAAAGUAACACAUCUUUCGACUGUA